CCUACGGGUGGCUGCAGUGAGGAAUAUUGGUCAAUGGACGCAAGCCUGAACCAGCCAAGUAGCGUGAAGGAUGACUGCCCUACGGGUUGUAAACUUCUUUUAUAAAGGAAUAAAGUGAGUCACGUGUGCCGUUUUGUAUGUACUUUAUGAAUAAGGAUCGGCUAACUCCGUGCCAGCAGCCGCGGUAAUACGGAGGAUCCGAGCGUUAUCCGGAUUUAUUGGGUUUAAAGGGAGCGUAGAUGGGUUGUUAAGUCAGUUGUGAAAGUUUGCGGCUCAACCGUAAAAUUGCAAUUGAUACUGGCAGACUUGAGUGCAGUUGAGGUAGGCGGAAUGAGUGGUGUAGCGGUGAAAUGCUUAGAUAUCACGCAGAACUCCGAUUGCGCAGGCAGCUUACUAAACUGCAACUGACGUUGAUGCUCGAAAGUGUGGGUAUCAAACAGGAUUAGAUACCCGAGUAGUC
Molecule: ribosomal RNA, 460 nt
Filed under: uncultured bacterium
Lineage: Bacteria
Description: partial 16S ribosomal RNA
Rfam family: Bacterial small subunit ribosomal RNA
Source: RNAcentral